This 1554-nucleotide ribosomal RNA is filed under the name Klebsiella pneumoniae. RNAcentral's name for it is "bacterial SSU rRNA". It matches the Rfam family "Bacterial small subunit ribosomal RNA". The record is from RNAcentral. RNAcentral also lists the same sequence under 2 other names. Lineage: Bacteria; Pseudomonadati; Pseudomonadota; Gammaproteobacteria; Enterobacterales; Enterobacteriaceae.
ACUUAAAUUGAAGAGUUUGAUCAUGGCUCAGAUUGAACGCUGGCGGCAGGCCUAACACAUGCAAGUCGAGCGGUAGCACAGAGAGCUUGCUCUCGGGUGACGAGCGGCGGACGGGUGAGUAAUGUCUGGGAAACUGCCUGAUGGAGGGGGAUAACUACUGGAAACGGUAGCUAAUACCGCAUAACGUCGCAAGACCAAAGUGGGGGACCUUCGGGCCUCAUGCCAUCAGAUGUGCCCAGAUGGGAUUAGCUAGUAGGUGGGGUAACGGCUCACCUAGGCGACGAUCCCUAGCUGGUCUGAGAGGAUGACCAGCCACACUGGAACUGAGACACGGUCCAGACUCCUACGGGAGGCAGCAGUGGGGAAUAUUGCACAAUGGGCGCAAGCCUGAUGCAGCCAUGCCGCGUGUGUGAAGAAGGCCUUCGGGUUGUAAAGCACUUUCAGCGGGGAGGAAGGCGGUGAGGUUAAUAACCUCACCGAUUGACGUUACCCGCAGAAGAAGCACCGGCUAACUCCGUGCCAGCAGCCGCGGUAAUACGGAGGGUGCAAGCGUUAAUCGGAAUUACUGGGCGUAAAGCGCACGCAGGCGGUCUGUCAAGUCGGAUGUGAAAUCCCCGGGCUCAACCUGGGAACUGCAUUCGAAACUGGCAGGCUAGAGUCUUGUAGAGGGGGGUAGAAUUCCAGGUGUAGCGGUGAAAUGCGUAGAGAUCUGGAGGAAUACCGGUGGCGAAGGCGGCCCCCUGGACAAAGACUGACGCUCAGGUGCGAAAGCGUGGGGAGCAAACAGGAUUAGAUACCCUGGUAGUCCACGCUGUAAACGAUGUCGAUUUGGAGGUUGUGCCCUUGAGGCGUGGCUUCCGGAGCUAACGCGUUAAAUCGACCGCCUGGGGAGUACGGCCGCAAGGUUAAAACUCAAAUGAAUUGACGGGGGCCCGCACAAGCGGUGGAGCAUGUGGUUUAAUUCGAUGCAACGCGAAGAACCUUACCUGGUCUUGACAUCCACAGAACUUAGCAGAGAUGCUUUGGUGCCUUCGGGAACUGUGAGACAGGUGCUGCAUGGCUGUCGUCAGCUCGUGUUGUGAAAUGUUGGGUUAAGUCCCGCAACGAGCGCAACCCUUAUCCUUUGUUGCCAGCGGUUAGGCCGGGAACUCAAAGGAGACUGCCAGUGAUAAACUGGAGGAAGGUGGGGAUGACGUCAAGUCAUCAUGGCCCUUACGACCAGGGCUACACACGUGCUACAAUGGCAUAUACAAAGAGAAGCGACCUCGCGAGAGCAAGCGGACCUCAUAAAGUAUGUCGUAGUCCGGAUUGGAGUCUGCAACUCGACUCCAUGAAGUCGGAAUCGCUAGUAAUCGUAGAUCAGAAUGCUACGGUGAAUACGUUCCCGGGCCUUGUACACACCGCCCGUCACACCAUGGGAGUGGGUUGCAAAAGAAGUAGGUAGCUUAACCUUCGGGAGGGCGCUUACCACUUUGUGAUUCAUGACUGGGGUGAAGUCGUAACAAGGUAACCGUAGGGGAACCUGCGGUUGGAUCACCUCCUUACCUUAAAGAA